GAUGAAGAACGUAGCGAAAUGCGAUAAGUAAUGUGAAUUGCAGAAUUCAGUGAAUCAUCGAAUCUUUGAACGCUCAUUGCGCCCCCUGGUAUUCCGGGGGGCAUGCCUGUUCGAGCGUCAUUACAACCCUCAAGCUCUGCUUGGUAUUGGGCCCCGCCAGUUCUGGCGGGCCCUAAAGUCAGUGGCGGUGCCUUCCGGCUCCGAGCGUAGUAAUUCUUCUCGCUCUGGAGACCCGGUUGUGUGCUUGCCAACAACCCCCAAUUUUUUAAGGUUGACCUCGGAUCAGGUAGGGAUACCCGCUGAACUUAAGCAUAUCAAUAAGCGGAGGA
This 329-nucleotide unclassified non-coding RNA is filed under the name soil metagenome. Its description in RNAcentral is "partial contains 5.8S ribosomal RNA, internal transcribed spacer 2, and large subunit ribosomal RNA". The stretch from base 1 to 120 matches the Rfam family "5.8S ribosomal RNA", at positions 35 to 154 of the family's 154-position model. The record is from RNAcentral.